CAAUCGAUUAACUAUCAAAAGGAAGCUUUUAUUUUCACGUAAUUUAUCUCCGUAAAAUGAUGAUUGAUCUGAUAAAAGAACAUGUGAAAUUUGCCCAUACACGGCUUAUAUAAGAAGCACAUGAAGGAAGCUUUGUUAUCGAUAAGAGAACAACGUGAGAGCAACACAAGAAAGCAAGCAAAGACAACAAGUACUUUAGAAACAUCCAAUAUGGACUCAAAAGUUUGGGCCUGCGGACUCGCCAUAGCAACGUUUUAUGCAUGCGCUCUGCAGACGAGCGGUCACUCUACAAAGGAAAGGAAUCUACGCACAUGCUCAAUAAUAUAAGCUAUGCUAUAUGUCACUAUGGAGAUUCUCGUUGUCGCAAAGAUGAAGCAGAAAUCAAACACCCCGAAGAUCUACAAGGAGCAUCUAAAGAACAGCAAAAACAUCCCAAAGAAAAACUCUUAAACAACGAAAAACAAUUACGAAGAUUAGUGAAGAUCUUCCAUAGAUAUAUGUUAUGUAACAAGUCUAGGAAAACAAACAGGAAGCUAUCAAAAGCGCUGAAUUCGCUUACUAACAAACAGGACACUAGGUUUUUACAUGAUGUAGAGAUCCCUGUGGUAGGCCUAAAACACAAGAAUCAAAAGCGACGCUCUAUUUGUUCCCGGGGAAGAUGGGGAUGCCGCAGAACUGCAUACGAGGAGACUUUAUUCCCAGCGAUGAGAUUCAAGCGUGGUAUUUGGAGAUUAAGAAAAGGACAUAAAAUAGUUAAGGAAAAGGAAGGAAGUUCAGAUUACAAAUUUACAAGGAAGACGAUAAGAGAUUUCAUGAGAGAUAAUCGGGAGUGGAAAGUUGAGACGGGAAAGUUAUGGAUACGACGACAGAAUAACAGAUGCCCGGCUACCAAGCCUCAACAAGAGAACGAAGCAUUAUCAGGAUUAGGCGGUUUUAUUAAGUACAUCAUGGAGCACUUAGCAGCUAAACAGGCGCAAACACAGGGGGGUUCGCCGACACCAAGCGCACACUCCAUUGGCCGCCAAAAAGUGGGUCAUUCCUUAUUAAGGGAUCGGCAAACCAUUUCCUUGUUCCAUACGACACCUAUGACUGCGCACCCUCCCUCAGCCAAACCGAGUACGCGCCAACUGACGAUUCAAAA
Nematostella vectensis (starlet sea anemone) is the source of this 1141-nucleotide long non-coding RNA. RefSeq lists it as uncharacterized. The transcript has 2 exons. Lineage: Eukaryota; Metazoa; Cnidaria; Anthozoa; Actiniaria; Edwardsiidae. The record is from RefSeq and is a predicted model, not a curated record.